Molecule: ribosomal RNA, 492 nt
Filed under: uncultured bacterium
Lineage: Bacteria
Description: partial 16S ribosomal RNA
Rfam family: Bacterial small subunit ribosomal RNA
Source: RNAcentral
AGUGAACGCUGGCGGUAGGCCUAACACAUGCAAGUCGAACGGCAGCACAGUAAGAGCUUGCUCUUACGGGUGGCGAGUGGCGGAUGGGUGAUAAAUACAUCGGAAUCUACUUUUUCGUGGGUGAUAACGUAGGGAAACUUACGCUAAUACCGCAUACGACAUACGGGUGAAAGCAGGGGAUCUUCGGACCUCGCGCGAGUGAAUGAGCCGAUGUCGGAUUAGCUAGUUGGCGGGGUAAAGGCCCACCAAGGCGACGAUCCGUAGCUGGUCUGAGAGGAUGAUCAGCCACACUGGAACUGAGACACGGUCCAGACUCCUACGGGAGGCAGCAGUGGGGAAUAUUGGACAAUGGGCGCAAGCCUGAUCCAGCCAUACCGCGUGGGUGAAGAAGGCCUUCGGGUUGUAAAGCCCUUUUGUUGGGAAGGAAAAGCAGCAGGUUAAUACCCCGCUGUUCUGACGGUACCCAAAGAAUAAGCACCGGCUAACUUCGUG